GUCUGACACGAGCCGCGGCGGCGUGGUCUCUCGCCUCUCGCUGCUCGACGGCCGGGCUCGCCGUCUUACGGCGGCGCCAUCGCCGUCUUCUCGCGAGUCGAGGCGAGAGGCCGCCCCCGUGGCCGUGGCCCUUCACGCAUAGAGGCAAGGGCAACUCGUCCUCUUCCACGUCGCUCCGCGAGGCCUCCGCCGUCUUCCGGUCCGGUCCCACGAGUCCGCGCUGUGCCCUAGCCCUACCGAAGAAAGGGAUCGAGAUUUCAGCUGAACAUGAUAUUGGCAUAAGCCUGCUUAAUUACCUUCUGCCAAGGGCUGUCUAGCCUUGCAUUGGACAACACAUGGAGCCCUGGUGAGACAAGUUGGAUCGUUGCAGGCUGCCCCUUUGGCCGAUUUGACACAUAAACCAUGACGUUUGUGGUCAGAUCAGCCAGUACAAGGUUGAAGCCGUUGUACUCGUCAGCUUCUUUUGCCACCUCAGUUGCAACUUCAAGUGGGCUCUUGUUGCUCUGCACAGGAACCUGAGGGGGAGAUCUCCCCUUGUGCGCGCCCCCGGCAUGGCGUCCGGCUCGAGCACAUUGGUGAGGAAGGCGAGCCUGCCAUCCUUUGUGCAACCCAUCCAUGUCCCUCCACCAAGAACAUCUCUACCACCAAGAAUCUUCUUCGAGCCCUCCCCCCACCAUCCUACUGCCUUGGUUGGCCUGCACCAAUUCGUCAGAGCUAAAUCAGCACACUCAAUUCACCAAGAACAGCAUCGUCAGAGUGCAACAUGGAUGAUCAAGCAGAGGAGGAGGCCGGAAGGAAAGGGGGAUCAAGCAGAGGAGGAGCCCACAGUGAGCCUUACACGCUUACAUUAUUGCCUCCAAGCAGGUAGUACUCUGCAUGCAACCGUUCAUUAUUCAGAGUUUCCAUCCUGUGUUCAGUUACCAGGUUUUAUAUUACCUUUGCAUAUACUACCUCCGUUUUUAAUAGAUGACGCCGUUGACUUUUCCUCACAUGUUUGACCAUUCGUCU
Molecule: long non-coding RNA, 1008 nt
Filed under: Oryza sativa Indica Group (long-grained rice)
Lineage: Eukaryota; Viridiplantae; Streptophyta; Magnoliopsida; Poales; Poaceae
Description: lncRNA OsZS97_09G005690
Source: RNAcentral